Molecule: long non-coding RNA, 4455 nt
Organism: Homo sapiens (human)
Lineage: Eukaryota; Metazoa; Chordata; Mammalia; Primates; Hominidae
Source: Ensembl
GCGGAGCUGCUUUUCAGCAGAGACCUGCAGCAUCAGAAAGAGCCAGUGAGCUGGUGACCUGGGAAAAGAGAGUUGCAGGCAAAGGGAACGGCCAGUGCAGAGGCCGUGGGGUAAGAAUAACCUUGGUGUGCUCCAGGGACAGAAAGAAGACCAGGGCACCCAGUCCACUGAGUGGAAGGAAGAGAAAUAUGCCAAGGGUGGAAAGCCGCCGUGUAAGAAGUACCUUUCACCUUCCACCAUGAUUGUGAGGCCUCCCCAGCCACGUGGAAAUGCUGCGUCAAUGAUUGUAGUGCUAAUUGUUACAGACAUGACCACAAUGCCAAGGCGAAUGGGGACAAUGAAAUCCAUGGCUGGUUUUAAGGGCAGGUGCAGAGGAUCCAGCAUGUUAUUCUGAAACCCCAGAAGACGCUGCAGCUACCAAAUAGAAGGAGCCUGGAUCCCUGAAUGUCUUCAUGGAACAGAACAUUCUCCUCACUCCAGUCUGUUUGAACCAGAAUAUGACCUGAGCAAGAAAUAAGCCUUAAUUAUAUUUGACCAUAGAAUUCUGGUGAUAUUUCUAUGGCUGUAAGUCCAUGUUGAUUAAUACAAAGGGAUGCUGUAAAGCCUCUUCUAUUAAAAAAAGUUGCCCAAGGAGUGAAAGGAGAGAUAUUUUCUGUAAUUAAGAUUUUCAUAAUACAUAGAACAGGCUAUAGCACCUGGCAAUCAAUCAUAUGGGGUACAACAGAAAGAGGAAACAUUCCUGCUAUUAAAUUAACCAAACUGGAGUUCUUGUUAUAUAAUAUAGUAAAAUUUCCUCAAUCUUUCAGCCACCUUUAGUUCUGUAAUCUAUUAUUUCUGGGUAAAAGCAUACCAUUUGAUACACAAUCCAAACCCAAUUCUUAAUUAAUAACGUGUAUCCACUGUAUCUUACCACAUCCCAAAUCAUCUAAUACUUAACCACCUAGUUUCUAUGUUCCACUUACAUCAAACAUAUUCAUGUUUGGAAAAUUGAGCCAGCAUCUACUGCCUUAUCAGCUGAUGCAUAACAAUUUACUUUGUCUGUGCUCUAUAAUAAUGCAAGUCUGCUUGGAAAGAUAACACGUUAAAGGGUUAUCAGACCCUAACACCUUCGUAUAGAUGAAUUUAUCAGAUCCUCUGCUAAACCACUUUCGAAUCCUUGGCCAGUUCUCUACAUUUCAUGAAGAGUUAGCAUAGCCAGUCCAGGAGAUAUUAUCUUCAGGAUGUGGUCAGUUGUGGAAAGGAAGAUAGCUCUGAGGAUCUCUUUCCAGGGAAAAGAAAGACAUGAGGAUUGCUCCAAAGAUCCUCUUUCUGGGGGAAAACGCACAUACUACAGAAAGGCUACAGAAAAAAAAGCACUCCCUCAGCAACAUAUUCACAAUCUAUUUUGUUGGAAUUACAGGCCAAUCCUUUUCAGACAGUUGAGUCCAGAGAGGACUGGGAGACUGCCUGACCCCAUGGGGUGCUUGACAAGGUCAGAUUCCAGGGCCUGGUAGGCUGUUAAAACCAAAGGGGGCCAGUGCUCAUGGACAGUGAGUUAAGAGGCUCCUGACACUGGGGGUCCUUUCAGAGCACAUACAGAAGGAGGAGUGUCCUUCUGUUACACAACCUGAAUUACUGGAGAAGGGCCCGCUGGUGUCGUUCUCCUCAAUACAAUGCACCUCCUACAAUGCACCUCCACUUCUGGGAGAGGGGAAGGGGGAAAAAGAGACAGAGAAGGAGGGAGAGAGAGAGAGAAAGAGAGCGCUGUCUCCCUCCCUUCCUUCUUCCUUCCCUUCUCUCUUUCCCUUCCUCUUAUCUCUCUGUGGAUCUCUUUCAAGUAUUCCUAGAAGAAUCUGGAGCUAAAAUGAGCCUGCGUCUGAAUUUUACUCCUGGCUCUGCAACUGAUAAGCUAUGUAAUCAAGUCCCUUCCCUGCUUCUUUCUUUCUCACACACACACACACACACACACACACAGUCUCUCAUCAAAUGCUUUGUGGGUUCUUACUCUGACAAGCCAGGCAUUGUGCUAGUUACAGGAGAUAAUCUGAAAGAAAAUAGCUCCUUCUUAUAAAAUGAUGAUAGACCAGGUGAUCUCACAGGUAUAUGUUGAUGAUGGCUAGUUUAGUCUUGCUAGCUCUGCUCAUGCACCUCCCUCCUUCAAUCAUGUACCUCCCUCCUUCAAAUCAAUAUCCUCACCUGCUUUCCCAAAGCCCUCUUGCUAUUCCUUCUCCCUCUGAGGUACCAUUUUUAGCCUAGUAUCAAAAGGCACCACAGCUCUUUCCGUCCCCCACGCCACCCAUCCUCUUCCCCAGCAUCAACACCAAGCUGCCCUGAAUGCUAUGCUUUCACUCUUUCCAUCAGCAUGCAGUUACUAAUCCCUUAAUGUGACCGGAGCAGAAGUCUAAAUAACUGCUCCAUAAUCCCCUAGUAUUUGAGCAUCCAAAAUAACAUUUGCAUUUUCAUCAGGGUCUUAAAUGGUCUGGUGGCUUUCUUUUUAUAAAUUAGUAAUUUAAGUAUUUAUUUUUUAAAAAUUCAAACACAGAUAUAGAUAUGUUUAUGUAGGACUACAUAAAGAUUUAUAAUUUUAUAGAAUUACAUAAACGUGAUUAUAUUAUAUAUAGCUUUUCAUUUUCUUUCUCUCUCUCUUUCUUUUCUUUGUAUCUUCUUCCUCUCUCCAACCUCCUCCAUACUAAUAAUUCUCAGCCACAAAUCCUCCACAAAACCAUGGAACCCAUGUUAACCUUUUAUGUAUCCUUCCAUAUUUUUCUCUAUUUGUCUAGACUCACACCAGUGUCUAAUGACAUAUGUGAAGGGAUGUUCUUGGAGUACUCUUGUUCGUGGCAAAGAAUGAUUGAAUGAAUUCUGGUACAAUAAUAUAUUUCAGUUAGGCUAGGCUGCUUGUUGAUAUGGAAUAAACAACUCCAAAAGCUUAAUAACUUAAAACAAUAACAAUGGAUUGAUUGCUCAUACUAUAUGUCCAAGUCAAGCCAGUAAAGGACUCUAUUCCUCAGGGUCAUUCAGGGACCCAGGCUGAUGGAACAACUAUUACCUUAAAUAUUUCCAGUUGCUGUGCCAUGGGGAAAUGAGUUCUGGAGGGUCUCGAACCAGGUGAUUAAAUGCUUCAAGGCAGAAGUCAUAAUUCCUUGGCUAUGACUAGUCACAUGGCCCCAUUCAGCCAAAGGUGAGCCAGGAAGUGCAAUUCUACCAUGUGUCUGGAAGAGAAGAAAAAAAAAAAAGUAUUGGUGAAUAGCACUAACAACCACUACACACCCUGCACUGUAUCUUGUAUCUAUUAAUAAAGAGGAAAGAAUAAUAGCAUGUCAAGCAACUUAGAGGGAUUCUACAAGGAAUUGUUGAGUGAGAAGAUACAGAUAAAUGAGUAAAAGGAAUUGCAUUUUUUGAAAUGAUGGCUCAAAAAUCUCUACAUAUGGAUUUGCAAGUGUUUACAGGAAUAUAUAUAUAUAUAUAUAUAUAUAUAUAUAUAUAUAUAUGCUAUAGAUAUAUACGCUUACCUAGUUAUUAUCAUACAUUCUUACACCAUAAUUACCCUGGGGCCCUUGUUAAAUGUUAGAAUUCCCGGCCCCCAACCCCAAUCUAGUGAAUCCAAUCUGUUCUGUGCAUUAGUGAGAGAGCCAGGGCCUGAUACCCAAGGCUGAGUCCUUUAUUCCACCACAUGUAGCCCUCACCAUAGUGAUCCACUGAUUCCUAACAACUUCCUAAAGAAAAAUAUUGAUUCAUUGAUUUAUCCAUUUGUCCAUCCUUUUAUCUACCAAAUAUUUACGGAGACUCGACUAUCUGCAGGGACAUUGCUAGAUGCUAGGGAUGCAGUAGGGGACAAAGCAAACUUGGUCCUGUUUUGAUCUUACAGUCUAGGGUAGGAAAAACAUUUAAAAAGAGGACACCACAUUAAUUCACAUGUAUGUACAAAUUGUGAUAAUGCCUAGGUAGGAAGAGAGUGUCGUGGACAAAUAUAGUAGAGGGACAACAUUUAAAUUGGGGAGCUAAUGAUGAUGACUCAGAGCAAAGGCUAAGUAGAGAACUAUCGGGGUGGUGACCCUAUAGGCAAGGGACACAGAGCUGAGCAUAGAGCAGUCUAGGCAGGGGCGCUACCUGUGGGGAGGGCCACAGAAGGGAAUAACAGCAGGCAAGUGUGCCUGGAAGACAAUGACCUUGGAAACAGUGGUGAGAGAUGGCACCAGACCAUGCAGGGCCCUGUAGAAUGCGGUGACAAGUCUAGGCUUUAAGUGCAGUGGGAACUGUAGUAGUUAGAAGCAAGCAGGUCAGAAAGACUUGAUAUAUGUUGUCUUUUUACAGCAACUUUAGUGAGUUAUAGCUUACAUACAAUAAAAUGCACACACUUCAGAUGUUCAUUUUGAUGAGUACAUAAUACAAAUAUAUAUUCAGAUAUAUGUAUAUAUGUGUAUACUCACAUAAAUGUAUAUAUCUUUACAUCCACCACUACAAUCAAGAUAUAUA